This 69-nucleotide ribosomal RNA is filed under the name Vibrio vulnificus. Its description in RNAcentral is "partial 23S ribosomal RNA". RNAcentral also lists the same sequence under 1 other name. The record is from RNAcentral. Lineage: Bacteria; Pseudomonadati; Pseudomonadota; Gammaproteobacteria; Vibrionales; Vibrionaceae.
UGUGAGGCGUUGAGCUAACCUGUACUAAUUGCCCGUGAGGCUUAACCAUACAACACCCAAAGGGUUUUG